This 229-nucleotide ribosomal RNA is filed under the name uncultured bacterium. RNAcentral's name for it is "partial 16S ribosomal RNA". It matches the Rfam family "Bacterial small subunit ribosomal RNA", at positions 568 to 796 of the family's 1533-position model. The record is from RNAcentral.
UGCGCAGGCGGGCUUGUAAGUCAGUGGUGAAAUAUUGCCGCUUAACGGUAGAACUGCCAUUGAUACUGCAAGUCUUGAAUAUGGUUGAGGUAGGCGGAAUGUGUCGUGUAGCGGUGAAAUGCAUAGAUAUGACACAGAACGCCGAUUGCGAAGGCAGCUUACUAAGCCAUUAUUGACGCUGAGGCACGAAAGCGUGGGGAGCGAACAGGAUUAGAUACCCUGGUAGUCC